Molecule: transfer RNA, 77 nt
Filed under: Bdellovibrionales bacterium RIFOXYC1_FULL_39_130
Lineage: Bacteria; Pseudomonadati; Bdellovibrionota; Bdellovibrionia; Bdellovibrionales
Also listed under: 7 other names
Description: tRNA-Met
Rfam family: tRNA
About the family: Transfer RNA (tRNA) molecules are approximately 80 nucleotides in length.
Source: RNAcentral
GGCUUGGUAGCUCAGUUGGUUAGAGCGAGAGAUUCAUAUCCUCUAGGUCGGCAGUUCGAUUCUGCCCCAAGCCACCA